This 253-nucleotide ribosomal RNA is filed under the name uncultured bacterium. RNAcentral describes it as "partial 16S ribosomal RNA". It matches the Rfam family "Bacterial small subunit ribosomal RNA", at positions 524 to 776 of the family's 1533-position model. The record is from RNAcentral.
UACGUAGGGGGCUAGCGUUGUCCGGAAUCAUUGGGCGUAAAGCGCGUGUAGGCGGUUCGGUAAGUCUGCUGUGAAAGUCGGGGGCUCAACCCUCGGAUGCCGGUGGAUACUGCUGGGCUAGAGUACGGAAGAGGCGAGUGGAAUUCCUGGUGUAGCGGUGAAAUGCGCAGAUAUCAGGAGGAACACCAAUUGCGAAGGCAGCUCGCUGGGACGUUACUGACGCUGAGACGCGAAAGCGUGGGGAGCGAACAGG